RNAcentral lists this ribosomal RNA (253 nucleotides) under uncultured bacterium. RNAcentral describes it as "partial 16S ribosomal RNA". It matches the Rfam family "Bacterial small subunit ribosomal RNA", at positions 524 to 776 of the family's 1533-position model. The record is from RNAcentral.
UACGUAGGGACCGAGCGUUGUCCGGAUUCAUUGGGCGUAAAGAGCUCGUAGGCGGCCACUCAAGUCGAAUGUGAAACCUCGAGGCUUAACCUCGAGCCUGCAUUCGAUACUGGGCGGCUAGAGUCUGGUAGGGGGAUCUGGAAUUCCUGGUGUAGCGGUGGAAUGCGCAGAUAUCAGGAGGAACACCGGUGGCGAAGGCGGGAUCCUGGGCCAGUACUGACGCUGAGGCGCGAAAGCCAGGGGAGCAAACGGG